RNAcentral lists this long non-coding RNA (743 nucleotides) under Setaria viridis. Its description in RNAcentral is "long non-coding RNA (SVIR_LNC008696)". The record is from RNAcentral. Lineage: Eukaryota; Viridiplantae; Streptophyta; Magnoliopsida; Poales; Poaceae.
GGGUACCUAAGGUAGUAGAUUGGUUGGUGGGGAAUCGCCAGACCUGGAACUCGAAGGUAAAAGCGCAGACACAAGACAUGGAUUUAUACAGGUUCGGGCCGCCAGAGUAGCGUAAUACCCUACAUCCUGUUGGGGUGUUGUAUAUUGCGGCCUGCGCUUGGAUGUUGUUUGGUGUUGAACCUCUUGGUGGUUCUGAGGGUUCUAAACUAUCGAUCUAGGUACCCCUGCCCUCCUUUAUAUACUCUAGGGGGUGGGAUAACUAGUCAAUUACAGGGAGGAGUUCUAGUAGGAUUACAUGGUAUGAGUCCUAGUAGGAUUAUAGAGGAAUCCUAGUAGGAGUCCAUCUUGUUCCUUCUUUGCGGGUACUGGAGAUCUAUCCCCGACAGUCAUGAUCGCGGUGUAAGUAUGGAGUCUCUUCUUUGGCUAGCAUGAUGCUUGGGUCAACGUUGACAAUGAAUGGAGGCAUGCCAUCAAACUAAUCAUAAUCAUCUGACUUGUCUAUUUUAUCCUCGAAUCCCACGAUUUUUCUUUUACCUAAAAGAACUAUGUGGUGCUUUGGCUCCCAUGGUUUUUCUUUAUCUUCUGAAUUUUUCUUAGGUUUGCUAGACAUGUCGUUCACAUAGAAAACCUGAUGCACAUCAUUAGCAAGGAUGAAUGGUUCAUCAAUGUAUUUAGUCUUGGUUAGGUCCACUAUUGUCAUUCCAUACUGAUCUUUCGUUACGCCACCUCCAGUUAGCUACACC